RNAcentral lists this long non-coding RNA (1052 nucleotides) under Homo sapiens (human). RNAcentral's name for it is "HSALNT0330834". The record is from RNAcentral. Lineage: Eukaryota; Metazoa; Chordata; Mammalia; Primates; Hominidae.
AGAGUGAAGAAGAAGAGGAGGAAGAGGAAUGGCAAAGGGAAGAGAGAGAAGAGGGAGAAGGAAGAAGAGGAGGAGAUUAUGCACGACACUUGUUAAAAUUGCAACACUGAGACGGUAUUAGCAGCCCAGUUCUUCAUUUGAGAAGACCAAAGCACAGAGGGGCUAAGUGAUUUGCCCGGGCCCACACAGCUGGGUUGUUGCUGAGCCAGCAUUUGAAACCAGUGCCUCCACCACCAGUCUCUCAUGAAUGACUCUCCUUGUCAGGGCCCAGAUGGAAGCCAGCUGACAUGCAAGCCUGGGAACUGCAGCCUGCAGAGAUCAACAACCCCACGGAGUCACAGAGCAGAGCAGGUGAAGGAAGAAGAAUGGGUUUGAGGCAAACAGGGCCAGGAUCGGCAGGCCUUGUCCUCCAGGAAGCCUUUCCCACCCCACCUCAGGCUGGAAUAGGGGCCUUCGUAGGCUGAAUGAUGGCCUCCCAAAAAUGUUCACUUCUUAAUCCCUCAACCCUCUGAAUAUUACCUUAUAUGACAAAAGAUGUGACUAAGACGUGUUAAGGAUCUUGAAAAGAGAGACUGAAGCUGGGUUUUCUGGAUGGGCUUCAUAGACAGACACACAGAAGAAAAGGCAAUGUGAAGACAAGACAGAGGCCGGAUGGAGGUGAUGCCACCACAAGCCAAGGAAUGCUGGCAGCUGCUAGAAGCUGGAGGAGACGGGGAACAAAUUCUCUGCUAGAGCCUCCAGAGGAAAGACAGCCCUGUUCACAUCUUGAUUUCAGAAGUCUGGCCUCCAGAACUGCGAAAGAAUACGUGACUGUUAUCUUAAGCUACAAGUCUGUGUAUUGUGCUCCUCCAUCGUAUUCCCAAAACAGCAUCCCUGGCUUCUGUCCCGUGCCCAUUGUCCUUUCAUGCUGAAGCAGCUUAUUGCAUUGUCUUAUCUGUCCUACCAGGCUGACCUCCUUGAGGGCAGAAUUAGAUCUUGGAGAGAGAGCGCCCUAGUUCUCAACAUUGUGACGGGUAUAUAAUGGAUGACAAAUAAAUAUUAACUUGACUUUA